This 679-nucleotide ribosomal RNA is filed under the name Claremontiella nodulosa. RNAcentral's name for it is "partial large subunit ribosomal RNA". The stretch from base 1 to 523 matches the Rfam family "Bacterial large subunit ribosomal RNA", at positions 1944 to 2925 of the family's 2925-position model. Lineage: Eukaryota; Metazoa; Mollusca; Gastropoda; Neogastropoda; Muricidae. The record is from RNAcentral.
GACCGUGCAAAGGUAGCAUAAUCAUUUGCCUUAUAAUUGAAGGCUUGUAUGAAUGGUUUGACAAGAAUAAAGCUGUCUCUUUACAAUUAAAUAAAAUUUUAUUUAUAGGUGAAGAAGCCUAUAUUAAAUUGAAAGACAAGAAGACCCUAUCGAGCUUUAAAUAAAUUAAUAAGCAAACUAACAUAUUUAUAUUAAAUUAGUUAUUAAAAAUUUUGGUUGGGGCGACUAAGGAACAAAUAAAGCUUCCUAAGUAUUAUAAUACUUACUAGUGUUGAUCCAAAAACUUUGAUUAAAGGAAUUAGUUACCGUAGGGAUAACAGCAUUAUCUUUUUUAAGAGCCCAAAUCGAAAAAAAGGUUUGUGACCUCGAUGUUGGACCAGAAUGUCCUGAAGAUGCAGCCGUCUUCAAAGGUUGGUCUGUUCGACCAUUAAAAUUCUACGUGAUCUGAGUUCAGACCGGCGUGAGCCAGGUCAGUUUCUAUCUUCUAUUUUUUACGUGGACCUAGUACGAAAGGAUCGGUCAAUGAUAAUAAUUAUCAUAAUUGAUGAAGUAUAAAGAUUUAUUAAGUAAAUUAGGUUACUAGAAGAAUCAAAUUAGCAAAGAUAAUGCAAUUGACUUAGGAUCAAUAGACAUAGGUGAAACUCCUUUAUUUGAUAAAGUUAUGAAGGUGGCAGAUGAA